AUGCUAGCUUUGGCAGCAUAUAUACUAAAUUUGGAAUGAUACAGAGAAGAUUAGCAUGGUUCCUGUGUAAGGAUGACACUCAAGUUUGUGAAACAUUCCAUAUUUUU
Small nuclear RNA from Cavia porcellus (domestic guinea pig), 107 nucleotides. Lineage: Eukaryota; Metazoa; Chordata; Mammalia; Rodentia; Caviidae. The record is from Ensembl.